CAUCCCACCGUUGGUGGAGGAAGAGAUAAACCUACCGUGACUUCGAACGAUUGAGCUCAAUAUUCUCCCUUCCUUCAAACUCUUUAGAAUCGAAGAUCUCCGGCGUCCUACGCCCGAUGGCGACGGUACGCGAAACAGCUGACCUCGUCUCUCUGACCUCUUCUUGAUCCAACCGUUGCUUCUUCUCUUAUAUUGUUUUUCUGCUUUUUUUCUUCACCUUCCCCUCUUUCCUGGAUUCUUGAUUUUCUUGAAAUUUGGAUUUAUUGUUCUCCUCCUUCACACUGUUGAGCCGGAUUUCUUUAUUUUAUUUUAUUUUAUUUUUUCUGUUGCUAAUCCAACCACUUUGUCUUUCUCCGAUUUAGAUUAGGGUUGUGAAACAAUUGUCUUUUCUAACCCCCUUUUAGUACGACAUAUUGUUGGUCUGAGGAACAUGAUAGAUAUGCUUCAUUAGCCCUGAUAUUUUGCGUUGUCCUUGGCUUCAGACCUUCUUGAAUUAAAGAAGUUGCAUUUCUUUGAUAAUGGGAAGCUUUUCUUGAAAUCUUAGCUUUGCCUGCGUUACGGGAAGAAGGAGCAUGUCAACAUCCAGACCUCUUUGAAUUAAAGAAGUUGCAUUUCUCUGAUUAUGGGAAGCAUUUCUUGAAAUCUUAGCUUUGCCUGCGUUAAGGGGAGAAGGAGCAUGUCAACAUUCAUACCUUUUUGAAUUAAAUAAGUUGCUUGUCUUUGAUAAUGGGAGGCGUUUCUUGAAAUCUAGCUUUGCCUGCGUUAAUGGAAGAAGGAGCAUCUCAACAUCCAGACCUUUUUGAAUUAGAGAAGUUGCAUUUCUUUGAUUAUGGGAAGCGUUUCUUGAAAUCUUAGCUUUUCCUGCGUUAAGGGAAGAAGGGGCAUCUCAACAGCCAGACCUUUUUGAAUUAAAGAAGUUGCAUUUCUUUGAUUAUGGAAAGCGUCUCUUGAAAUCUUAGCUUUGCGUGCGUUAAGGGAAGAAGGAGCAUGUCAACAGCCAGGAGGAGAUCCUGUUCUCAGAGACAGCGAUGCUCAGAAGCAAUGCAGUUGCGAAGAAAAUCUUUGCCACAUGAAAAUGCACUGCACCGCACGGUUAUUCUUUACCAGGUAGCAAGGAGAUAUGCCCGAAAUAUAUCAUGGGUAAUGCUUAGUGUUGUUUGUUGCUUGGCCGCCUCUACAACCAGAAUCCUAUGUUCCAGAAAUGCGCAUGCGUGUAAUGGAAUCUAAAACAUGGGUGGAGCAUACUCUGGGCAGGAAAUUUGCUGGGUUUGUAAUUACUUUAAGGUGCCAACCGACCAUCACUGUGCUCUCAUGCAUAUAUUCAAACUUACAAAAGGCUGGGGUUGCCCAGAUGA
Molecule: non-coding RNA, 1355 nt
Organism: Phoenix dactylifera (date palm)
Lineage: Eukaryota; Viridiplantae; Streptophyta; Magnoliopsida; Arecales; Arecaceae
Source: RefSeq, a predicted model, not a curated record